UCCCCAGUGACUCAGUGGUAAAGAAUCUGCCUGCAAUGCAGGAGAUCCAGAUUCAAUUCCUGGGUUGGGAA
RNAcentral lists this transfer RNA (71 nucleotides) under Bos taurus (domestic cattle). It matches the Rfam family "tRNA". Rfam says of the family: Transfer RNA (tRNA) molecules are approximately 80 nucleotides in length. Their secondary structure includes four short double-helical elements and three loops (D, anti-codon, and T loops). Further hydrogen bonds mediate the characteristic L-shaped molecular structure. tRNAs have two regions of fundamental functional importance: the anti-codon, which is responsible for specific mRNA codon recognition, and the 3' end, to which the tRNAs corresponding amino acid is attached (by aminoacyl-tRNA synthetases). tRNAs cope with the degeneracy of the genetic code in two manners: having more than one tRNA (with a specific anti-codon) for a particular amino acid; and 'wobble' base-pairing, i.e. permitting non-standard base-pairing at the 3rd anti-codon position. Lineage: Eukaryota; Metazoa; Chordata; Mammalia; Artiodactyla; Bovidae. RNAcentral also lists the same sequence under 5 other names. The record is from Rfam by way of RNAcentral.